ACUCUGGGAUAAGCGCUGGAAACGGCGUCUAAUACUGGAUACGAACCACGAAGGCAUCUUCAGUGGUUGGAAAGAAUUUCGGUUGGGGAUGGGCUCGCGGCCUAUCAGCUUGUUGGUGAGGUAAUGGCUCACCAAGGCGUCGACGGGUAGCCGGCCUGAGAGGGUGACCGGCCACACUGGGACUGAGACACGGCCCAGACUCCUACGGGAGGCAGCAGUGGGGAAUAUUGCACAAUGGGCGCAAGCCUGAUGCAGCAACGCCGCGUGAGGGAUGACGGCCUUCGGGUUGUAAACCUCUUUUAGCAGGGAAGAAGCGAAAGUGACGGUACCUGCAGAAAAAGCGCCGGCUAACUACGUGCCAGCAGCCGCGGUAAUACGUAGGGCAAGCGUUAUCCGGAAUUAUUGGGCGUAAAGAGCUCGUAGGCGGUUUGUCGCGUCUGCUGUGAAAUCCGGAGGCUCAACCUCCGGCCUGCAGUGGGUACGGGCAGACUAGAGUGCGGUAGGGGAGAUUGGAAUUCCUGGUGUAGCGGUGGAAUGCGCAGAUAUCAGGAGGAACACCGAUGGCGAAGGCAGAUCUCUGGGCCGUAACUGACGCUGAGGAGCGAAAGGGUGGGGAGCAAACAGGCUUAGAUACCCUGGUAGUCCACCCCGUAAACGUUGGGAACUAGUUGUGGGGUCCAUUCCCGGAUUCCGUGACGCAGCUAACGCAUUAAGUUCCCCGCCUGGGGAGUACGGCCGCAAGGCUAAAACUCAAAGGAAUUGACGGGGACCCGCCAAGCGGCGGAGCAUGCGGAUUAAUUCGAUGCAACGCGAAGAACCUUACCAAGGCUUGACAUAUACGAGAACGGGCCAGAAAUGGUCAACUCUUUGGACACUCGUAAACAGGUGGUGCAUGGUUGUC
Molecule: ribosomal RNA, 901 nt
Filed under: Microbacterium sp.
Lineage: Bacteria; Bacillati; Actinomycetota; Actinomycetes; Micrococcales; Microbacteriaceae
Description: bacterial SSU rRNA
Rfam family: Bacterial small subunit ribosomal RNA
Source: RNAcentral